CCUACGGGUGGCAGCAGUGGGGAAUAUUGCACAAUGGGGGAAACCCUGAUGCAGCGACGCCGCGUGAGUGAAGAAGUAAUUCGUUAUGUAAAGCUUUAUUAGCAGGGAAGAAAAUGACGGUACCUGAGUAAGAAGCCCCGGCUAACUACGUGCCAGCAGCCGCGGGAAUACGGAGGGGGCAAGCGGUAUCCGGAUUUUCGGGGUGUAAAGGGAGCGUAGACGGCAGUGCAAGUCUGGAGUGAAAGGCGGGGGCUCAACCCCCGGACUGCACUUGAAACUGUAAGGCUGGAGUACAGGAGAGGUAAGUGGAAUUCCUAGUGUAGCGGUGAAAUGCGUAGAUAUUAGGAGGAACACCAGUUGCGAAGGCGGCUUACUGGACUGUAACUGACGUUGAGGCUCGAAAGCGUGGGGAGCAAACAGGAUUAGAUACCCGGGUAGUC
This 440-nucleotide ribosomal RNA is filed under the name uncultured bacterium. Its description in RNAcentral is "partial 16S ribosomal RNA". It matches the Rfam family "Bacterial small subunit ribosomal RNA", at positions 338 to 795 of the family's 1533-position model. The record is from RNAcentral.